RNAcentral lists this ribosomal RNA (482 nucleotides) under uncultured bacterium. RNAcentral's name for it is "bacterial SSU rRNA". It matches the Rfam family "Bacterial small subunit ribosomal RNA", at positions 29 to 506 of the family's 1533-position model. The record is from RNAcentral.
UUGAACGCUGGCGGAAUGCUUUACACAUGCAAGUCGAGCGGCAGCGCGGGGGCAACCCUGGCGGCGAGCGGCGGACGGGUGAGUAAUGCAUUGGAACGUACCUAGUCGUGGGGGAUAACUAUCCGAAAGGAUAGCUAAUACCGCAUACGUCCUGAGGGAGAAAGCAGGGGAUCGCAAGACCUUGCGCGAUUAGAGCGGCCGAUGUCGGAUUAGCUAGUUGGUGGGGUAAAGGCCUACCAAGGCAACGAUCCGUAGCUGGUCUGAGAGGAUGAUCAGCCACACUGGGACUGAGACACGGCCCAGACUCCUACGGGAGGCAGCAGUGGGGAAUUUUGGACAAUGGGGGCAACCCUGAUCCAGCCAUGCCGCGUGAGUGAAGAAGGCCUUCGGGUUGUAAAGCUCUUUCAGACGGAAAGAAAACGCAUCGGUGAAUACCCGGUGUGGAUGACGGUACCGUAAGAAGAAGCACCGGCUAACUACGU